Molecule: long non-coding RNA, 632 nt
Filed under: Malus domestica (apple)
Lineage: Eukaryota; Viridiplantae; Streptophyta; Magnoliopsida; Rosales; Rosaceae
Description: long non-coding RNA (MDOM_LNC002266)
Source: RNAcentral
AUUCCACGUACUAGAAGGCGAGUAGUACAACUUGUACAUGUUAACUCCUAGCAUUCAUAAAUAAUCAAAAACCCUCAAGCUUGACAACUCAACUAGGGGAGUACUUAUGCCCAACAAGAGUUAUAGUCACCAACAAAGUCUUAUUGCAAGCCAACAACAACUUCAGUGCAUGGUAUACGAAGAUCAAGCUAUUCAACCCUCUUGCAUUUGCUUCAGACAUUUCUCCUCUGUAACAAUGCAAACACUACAACUCGUAGAAAGCUUCACACACUCUUGUUUAAGACAGUGUGAAGCAAAACCAAUUUAUGGUGCCAACAAGAGCUUCAUCAAAAGAGUUCAACCACAAUUUUCAAAAGCUUCACACUCUUGAUCAAGAUAGUGUGAAGCAAAACCAAUUUAUAGUGCCAACAAGAGCUUCAUCAAUGGAGGGUAACCACAAUUCUCAAAAGCUUCACACACUCUUGAUCAAGACAGUGUGAAGCAAAACCAAUUUAUGGUGCCAACAAAAGCUUCAUCAAAGGAGUUCAACCAUAAUUCUCAAAAGCUUUACACACUCUUGAUCAAGACAGUGUGAAGCAAAACCAAUUUAUGGUGCCAACAAGAGUUUCAUCAAAAGAGUUCAACCACAAUUC